Molecule: small RNA, 27 nt
Filed under: Bombyx mori (domestic silkworm)
Lineage: Eukaryota; Metazoa; Arthropoda; Insecta; Lepidoptera; Bombycidae
Description: ovarian small RNA-36197
Source: RNAcentral
UGUUGUGUGAAAAAUGGUUGCUGCAAC